AACCGUUUUAUAAAGCAUAGUGGGAGUAUUAUAUACAACUAAAAACAAUCAUAUGGACCAAUAGUUGUAAUAGGACCAAAAUGGUUUUAAUAGAGAUUAAAAUGUAUGUUUAUAUGUGAUGAGACCUAAAACCCUCAACCAAACUAUUAUUAAGUUGAUAAGCAUGAGAGUGCUUAGAACACUCUUUCGUAGGCCUUCCACCGUGGUGGGAUCCAAUCGUUUAUGACUUGUACACCGGCUUCACCCUAUCAUGGGGGAGUACAAAGUGCAUGCUUAUACUCAGGAGGAAUCCAUACACAUAUGAUGAGGUGAGUGUAGGCAACGAGGAUGGCCGACAUCGUAUCAUCGUGAGGCUAUUCUUGAACCCCUUCACGCACUAAGCAUGGUGGGAAUGACUUAACUAAGUGCAAUGGAGCCAACAUCAUAUCAUUGUGAGGUUACAUUCUCUAGAGGCCAAAUAAGAUGGGUACUUGCAUUAGUUGCAAAUGAGUAAGCGUACUCUCUCAUUAUUAUUGUUGCUAGCCAAACAUCGUAUCAUCGUGAGGUGGGCUUGGUAAUAGUGAGCCUCCCAUAACCUACUAGGAGUUUCAUCCAAAACUCUCGAAUUCCUUUGAGGGAUAUGGAAUUUGCCAAAAAUAGUGGGUGGUGCUAUUUGAUUUAAAGACCCGGAUCAAAUGGCUUAAAAUCAAUCAACUAUAUUCGUUAUGUAUUUGUUUACCAAUAUAUUUGCAAACGCUAUCCAAAACUUGACAAAGAAAAGCCGAAUGCUUUAGUUUUCGGACUUGGUAACACAAUCCCAAAGAUUGUCUUAAAUGGAUUGUAUAUGUAUCUAAGUAGUCUCAUCCUCACAAUCUUCCUAAUGAUAAUGUAUCAUUGGAAGAACAUGUUAGAAAAGU
RNAcentral lists this long non-coding RNA (896 nucleotides) under Malus domestica (apple). Its description in RNAcentral is "long non-coding RNA (MDOM_LNC018014)". Lineage: Eukaryota; Viridiplantae; Streptophyta; Magnoliopsida; Rosales; Rosaceae. The record is from RNAcentral.